CUCUAAAGCUGGUCUCCAGCUCCUCUCCCCCCAUAUCUUGUAAAUGAAGAGUUAGUGUUGCUGUAAUUUUAGGUUAAAAAUUUCUACUAAUGCUUUCCUGUCCUAAAGCUCAUGAUGGCUCCAAUAACUCACCAAUUUACUGUAUCUAACCUUCUGGGAUAGCUCCAAGAAUGGAAGCUGAAAUUAAACUGUGUGUACGCCUACCUGACUAAUAUCAGAGGGGUGAGAAAGGAAGAACAGAAUGGUAUGCACACCGGAACUGUAAAUUCUCAAUGGACUAAGAUUCUAAGGCCAGAAGGGACCACUAGACCAUCUACGAUCAGGGCACAGAAUUUCACUCAGCUACCCCUGUGUUGGAACCAAUACACUGAGUUUGACUAAAGCAGAUCUUCUAGAAAGGCAUCCAGAUUUCGUAAAGCCCUAUCUAAUGGCAUCAGAUGAGAAGAUCAUCAUUUAAAAAAAAAAAUAAGAUCUUAAUCUUUACAGGUGUGGAGAAAAGCUUGAAAAUGUGACGAGCAUAGCCUGGAGGCUCAAAAAGCAGAAGACAAUAGAAAAGCAUCUUUUUUUUUUUUAAACCAGUACUUUACAUCCAAUCACAAUAUUGAGUCUUAACUCAGGAUUUUUCAAUGUGUGCGGUUGACAAUACCAUGUGGACAUAUAUUUAUAUAAACAAACUGCAGCUUUCUUUCAAAGAAAGAAAAUGAAUGCCCUUCCAAUUAGUGCCAGCUGGUUCGCUGAGGUUUAAUUUUCACAUGAAAAUGAAUAGGCCUAAAUAUGAACUCAUAAUACAGACUAACAGCUGUACAUAAUGCCUCUUUGAAAAGAUCUCACUCCUAUUCCACUAUAUAGAGCAAAGUGGUGGCUCCCAAUUGUGGUAACUUGAUGCUUAUUUUUUAUGAUAGUAGAACCUGCAAGCCCCCAAUGAGAUUGAGGCCCCAUUGCAUUGGGUAUUAUACAAAACCCACAGUGCCUACUGUGAAGAGCUUAGUCUAAAGCAGCAGGGCAGAGAAAGGGCGGGUGAAAUCAAGUAGCAGAUUCCCAUUUUAUAGACAGAGAACAGAGGCACAGCUUAAGUGAUUUACACAAGAUGAUUUAGGAAGUCUGUGGCACAGCCAACCCUGGAAGCUGGGACUCAUGCCAAUGCCCGAGCCACACAAUCUUCUUCCGUCAGUGUUUAUUUAGAUCUAAUAAUUGUGGCACUUCCACUUGGUAAAUACCUGCUUUAAGUGACUGGUAGGCAGGGCCUUUUUCAGGUGGCUUCAAAGCCCUUUCCCUUUUUCAAAGGGCUGUUUGGGUUUUGCUAAGUCUGGGGGGCUGGAGGGGAUUUGUCAGCUGUUUCCCUCUCAGCUCCUCUGCAACACGAGUCAGCAACUUGUGAGACAUGACAGCUUUCCUCCUGGCUGCUGCCCCUUCCUGUGACCCACUCUCCUUUUUAAGCUUGCUUCCUCCAACCGUGUGGUGUUUGGUGAGACUGAGCCCAGAGGAGCUCGUUAGCCACCUCCUGAUUGGGAUGGGAGCAUAGGACUGAAGCCAGUUGGCAAUGAUCUACAGAUGAUAUAAAAAUGUCAGUGUCCUUCUGUUAGGGAUGUAACACGGAGGAGGAGGAGGAAUUUCACUGGAGCCACAAGCCAGGUCUGUAGCAGCAUAGACCAACUUAACACAGGUUGCAAACAUGGUUUAAGUAACUAGAAGGACUAUUGGUGAGGAAAGACAAAAAGAGCUAAGUCUGUAUAGUUUUCUUAACCUGAGUGUAAGGGAGCUGACUACAAGUGCUUGAAAGGCAUAAAGGGAGAAGAAUUGAAGGGGUACUAGCAUGACAUUAAGAAAAGAGGGAAGUGAAUAUCAGGGGAAAUAUGCUCUUGGUGAAAUCCGUUAGACUCUGGUAUGAUCUGAGGGAACUGACAGAAAGUCCACGGGUAAAUACAUUUAAAACUAAACUUCAGAGAGCACUUAACGGAAAACUUUAUGGAACAAUCUUGCAUUGGCAGACUGGUCAGAGAACGGA
This is a long non-coding RNA of Mauremys mutica (yellowpond turtle), 2005 nucleotides long. RefSeq lists it as uncharacterized. The record is from RefSeq and is a predicted model, not a curated record. The transcript is spliced from 4 exons. NCBI's taxonomy places the organism in Eukaryota, Metazoa, Chordata, Testudines, Geoemydidae.